GGGGGCGUUCUGGUUUUCGACAGGGCGCGGUUGGAUUCGAGUUGCAGUGGUGUUGUUUACCUACAAACAAAAACUAAAUAUAACUGACAAUCGUCAAUUAGUAUUUGCUGCUUAAUUAGCCACUAAGGGCUUGCAGCCAUCAACCUUAGUUACUCCAUUGGGCUAGGGCUUGGUGUGAUACACACUGGAUAGGUUGAUAAGAUUCUCAAUAAUUGAAACCGAAAUUUAAUUGAGGAAACAAGUAAGCUUAGUCGUCCAUUACUAACUGCUUGUAACUUAUAAUGGACUAAACUGUAGACGUUCGAAUGUGGGACUCGUUUUGGACAGGGGUUCGACUCCCCUCGCCUCCACCA
RNAcentral lists this transfer-messenger RNA (353 nucleotides) under Erysipelotrichaceae. RNAcentral describes it as "UBA1783 sp012799935 Standard tmRNA". It matches the Rfam family "transfer-messenger RNA". From Rfam's summary of the family: Bacterial tmRNA, also known as 10Sa RNA or SsrA, is named for its dual tRNA and mRNA-like properties. Lineage: Bacteria; Bacillati; Bacillota; Erysipelotrichia; Erysipelotrichales. The record is from RNAcentral. RNAcentral also lists the same sequence under 1 other name.